GUAAUAGUAGCUUAAGUUAGAGCAUUGGUCUUGUAAGUCAAAGGUAAAUUAUAUUUCUAUUACU
This 64-nucleotide transfer RNA is filed under the name Phymorhynchus sp. LD-2020. RNAcentral's name for it is "tRNA-Thr". It matches the Rfam family "tRNA". From Rfam's summary of the family: Transfer RNA (tRNA) molecules are approximately 80 nucleotides in length. Their secondary structure includes four short double-helical elements and three loops (D, anti-codon, and T loops). Lineage: Eukaryota; Metazoa; Mollusca; Gastropoda; Neogastropoda; Raphitomidae. The record is from RNAcentral.